CCUAGACGCCGGCCCUCGCGGCCGUGACUGGCGCCCGCGGCCCCUCGGGGUCGCGGCCGACGGUUAACCCUCUGUGAAAACCCUCGUUGCUUCGGCAGCACCCCCACCGUGGCCUCGUGCCUCGACGGGGCGUCAGCCUGCCGACGGCACCCUCGGAAACUCAUUUUGAAAUCAAGCACCCAGUCUGAAAAACCAGUCAAAUGACAUUA
RNAcentral lists this unclassified non-coding RNA (209 nucleotides) under uncultured fungus. RNAcentral describes it as "sequence contains ITS1, 5.8S rRNA gene". The record is from RNAcentral. Lineage: Eukaryota; Fungi.